AGUGAACGCUGGCGGUAGGCCUAACACAUGCAAGUCGAACGGCAGCACAGUAAGAGCUUGCUCUUACGGGUGGCGGGUGGCGGACGGGUGAGGAAUACAUCGGAAUCUACUUUUUCGUGGGGGAUAACGUAGGGAAACUUACGCUAAUACCGCAUACGACCUACGGGUGAAAGCAGGGGAUCUUCGGGCCUUGCGCGAUUGAAUGAGCCGAUGUCGGAUUAGCUAGUUGGCGGGGUAAAGGCCCACCAAGGCGACGAUCCGUAGCUGGUCUGAGAGGAUGAUCAGCCACACUGGAACUGAGACACGGUCCAGACUCCUACGGGAGGCAGCAGUGGGGAAUAUUGGACAAUGGGCGCAAGCCUGAUCCAGCCAUACCGCGUGGGUGAAGAAGGCCUUCGGGUUGUAAAGCCCUUUUGUUGGGAAAGAAAAGCAGCAGGUUAAUACCCCGCUGUUCUGACGGUACCCAAAGAAUAAGCACCGGCUAACUUCGUG
This 492-nucleotide ribosomal RNA is filed under the name uncultured bacterium. RNAcentral describes it as "partial 16S ribosomal RNA". It matches the Rfam family "Bacterial small subunit ribosomal RNA", at positions 29 to 507 of the family's 1533-position model. The record is from RNAcentral.